GAUGAACGCUGGCGGCGUGCCUAAUACAUGCAAGUCGAGCGAACGGACGAGAAGCUUGCUUUUCUGAUGUUAGCGGCGGACGGGUGAGUAACACGUGGAUAACCUACCUAUAAGACUGGGAUAACUUCGGGAAACCGGAGCUAAUACCGGAUAAUAUUUUGAACCGCAUGGUUCAAAAGUGAAAGACGGUCUUGCUGUCACUUAUAGAUGGAUCCGCGCUGCAUUAGCUAGUUGGUAAGGUAACGGCUUACCAAGGCAACGAUGCAUAGCCGACCUGAGAGGGUGAUCGGCCACACUGGAACUGAGGCACGGUCCAGACGCCUACGGGAGGCAGCCGUAGGGAAUCUUCCGCAAUGGGCGAAAGCCUGACGGAGCAACGCCGCGUGAUUGAUGAAGGUCUUCGGAUCGUAAAACUCUGUUAUUAGGGAAGAACAUAUGUGUAAGGAACUGUGCACAUCUUGACGGUACCUAAUCAGAAAGCCACGGCUAACUACGUG
RNAcentral lists this ribosomal RNA (497 nucleotides) under uncultured bacterium. RNAcentral describes it as "partial 16S ribosomal RNA". It matches the Rfam family "Bacterial small subunit ribosomal RNA", at positions 28 to 507 of the family's 1533-position model. The record is from RNAcentral.